Molecule: unclassified non-coding RNA, 21 nt
Filed under: Mus musculus (house mouse)
Lineage: Eukaryota; Metazoa; Chordata; Mammalia; Rodentia; Muridae
Description: oocyte_clustered_small_RNA8693
Source: RNAcentral
GCUAAGUCGUAUGACUUGAAC